Molecule: long non-coding RNA, 202 nt
Organism: Etheostoma spectabile (orangethroat darter)
Lineage: Eukaryota; Metazoa; Chordata; Actinopteri; Perciformes; Percidae
Exons: 3
Source: RefSeq, a predicted model, not a curated record
CCCUUCGGAAGCGAGUCAUCCAGCUGAGGCGCAAGUCAUCUGCAUGUAUGGCUGUACAGAAAAUCUGCUAACUUUUCCUUGAGUUAUCAGCUAGCAGUAGGUAGCUAGCUUGUUUGGCAGAAUGCUGAACAAGACAUUUUUGGGCGACCAAAUGUUCCAAUUAACUUCGAUGAAGUGAAGACACUCUUAUUAAAAGCUAAUU